CUUCGGCAAUGGGCGCAAGCCUGACCGAGCGACGCCGCGUGGAGGACGAAGGCCUUCGGGUUGUAAACUCCUGUCGAGGGGGAACAAGGGGCCGUGCAGAGCGGUCCUUGAGUGAUCCCUGGAGGAAGCACGGGCUAAGUUCGUGCCAGCAGCCGCGGUAAGACGAACCGUGCGAACGUUAUUCGGAAUCACUGGGCUUAAAGCGCGUGUAGGCGGCCCGGCACGUCCGUCGCUGAAAUCCCCCGGCUCAACCGGGGAAGUGGCGUGGAUACGACCGGGCUGGAGGGGGGUAGGGGGAGCCGGAACUUCCGGUGGAGCGGUGAAAUGCGUUGAGAUCGGAAGGAACGCCCGUGGCGAAAGCGGGCUCCUGGACCCCACCUGACGCUGAGACGCGAAAGCCAGGGGAGCGAACGGG
RNAcentral lists this ribosomal RNA (415 nucleotides) under uncultured bacterium. RNAcentral describes it as "bacterial SSU rRNA". It matches the Rfam family "Bacterial small subunit ribosomal RNA", at positions 363 to 776 of the family's 1533-position model. The record is from RNAcentral.